GGGGACCCGCACAAGCGGCGGAGCAUGCGGAUUAAUUCGAUGCAACGCGAAGAACCUUACCAAGGCUUGACAUAUACGAGAACGGGCCAGAAAUGGUCAACUCUUUGGACACUCGUAAACAGGUGGUGCAUGGUUGUCGUCAGCUCGUGUCGUGAGAUGUUGGGUUAAGUCCCGCAACGAGCGCAACCCUCGUUCUAUGUUGCCAGCACGUAAUGGUGGGAACUCAUGGGAUACUGCCGGGGUCAACUCGGAGGAAGGUGGGGAUGACGUCAAAUCAUCAUGCCCCUUAUGUCUUGGGCUUCACGCAUGCUACAAUGGCCGGUACAAAGGGCUGCAAUACCGCGAGGUGGAGCGAAUCCCAAAAAGCCGGUCCCAGUUCGGAUUGAGGUCUGCAACUCGACCUCAUGAAGUCGGGGUCGCUAGUAAUCGCAGAUCAGCAACGCUGCGGUGAAUACGUUCCCGGGCCUUGUACACACCGCCCGUCAAGUCACGAAAGUUGGUAACACCCGAAGCCGGUGGCCUAACCCCUUGUGGGAGGGAGCUGUCGAAGGUGGGACUGGCGAUUGGGACUAAGU
Molecule: ribosomal RNA, 575 nt
Filed under: uncultured bacterium
Lineage: Bacteria
Description: bacterial SSU rRNA
Rfam family: Bacterial small subunit ribosomal RNA
Source: RNAcentral